RNAcentral lists this transfer RNA (66 nucleotides) under Cirroctopus glacialis. RNAcentral describes it as "tRNA-Phe". It matches the Rfam family "tRNA". Rfam says of the family: Transfer RNA (tRNA) molecules are approximately 80 nucleotides in length. Their secondary structure includes four short double-helical elements and three loops (D, anti-codon, and T loops). Lineage: Eukaryota; Metazoa; Mollusca; Cephalopoda; Octopoda; Opisthoteuthidae. The record is from RNAcentral.
AUUUAAAUAGCUUAAAAAGAGUAUAACAUUGAAGAUGUUAAGGUGAUUUUAAAUUAUCUUUAAAUA